Long non-coding RNA from Pan troglodytes (chimpanzee), 10938 nucleotides. RefSeq lists it as uncharacterized. The record is from RefSeq and is a predicted model, not a curated record. The transcript has 10 exons. NCBI's taxonomy places the organism in Eukaryota, Metazoa, Chordata, Mammalia, Primates, Hominidae.
GCUCUGAGACCCCGCCUCACGGGGGGUGCCUCCCCCCCUGUGAUGGGGGUCCUAAGAGCCAGGAGCAGAAGAGGGGCUGGCUCUCUGUACCCGCCUCGCGGGGGGUGCCUCUCCCCCCCCGUGAUGGGGGUCCUAAGAGCCAGAAGGCUUAGAGGGGCUGGCUCUCAGUCCCCGCCUCGUGGGGGGUGCCUCCUCCCCCUGCGACGGGGGUCCUAAAUGCCAGUGGGGAAAGAGGGGCUCGCUCUGAGACCCCGCCUCGCUGGGGGUGCCUCCCCCCACUGCGAUGGGGGUCCUAAGGGCCAGUGGGGAAAGAGGGGCUGGCUCUCAGUCCCCGCCUCGUGGGGGGUGCCUCCUCCCCCUGCGACGGGGGUCCUAAAUGCCAGUGGGGAAAGAGGGGCUGGCUCUGAGACCCCGCCUCGCUGGGGGUGCCUCCUCCCCCUGCGAUGGGGGUCCUAAGAGCCAGGGGGGGAAGAGGGGCUGGCUCUCAGUCCCCGCCGCGCGGGGGGUGCCUCCCCCCCUCGUGAUACGGAUCCGAAGAGCCAGGGGGGGAACAGGGGGAGAGGAUGAUAAUUUCAGCAUCGCAGGCUGUGUUCACCCAGCCUGUUAAAUUGUUAUUAGUAUCCUGAAAGGGAGAGGAUGAUAUUACUCCCCAUAACAGACAGAUAUGACUCCCCAUCGUAGAGCACGAGGUGUACACCCGCCCUGUGAUUUUCUUCCUCAUAUUCAGAGACCGAGAGGUUGAUGUCACUCCCAAUAUCGGAGGAAGUAUACACCCCCGUGUGAGAUGUUCCUUAAUGAUAUUCCACGGCGGAGGGGGUGAUAUGACUACAUUCAUGGCAGAAAGUGGAAACCCCCCAGGGAUAUUAUUCCCACGAUCCUGGAGGGAAGAAGAUGAUGUUACUUUCAAUAUGACAGAAGGUGGAUGAAGUGGUGGACUGCCCCUCCACACCUGUGGACACGCCCCCACUGAUAUUCCCUCUAAUUGCAGCGUGGGAGAGGAGGAUAUGACACGCCAUAUCGCAGGGAGCAGAAACACCCCUGUGAUACUGUUCUUCAUAUUCAGGGAGGAAGAGGAUGAUAUUACUCCCAAUACAGACGGGUGUACACCCUCUGUACACCGAGGGUGUACACCCGUCUGUGAAAGAGUUCGUAAUCUCCAGAGGGGGAGAUGAUAUUACUCACAAUAUGGUAAAGAGGCUGUGAGUCCACGGAGGAUCCUCAGAGCCAGCGGGGGAAGAGGGGCUGGCUCUGAGACCCCGCCUCGCUGGGGUUGCCUCCCCCCACUGCGAUGGGGGUCCUAAGAGACAGUGGGGGAAGAGGGGCUGGCUCUGAGACCCCGCCUCGCGGGGGGUGCCUCCCCCCCCUGCGAUGGGGGUCCUAAGGGCCAGUGGGGGAAGAGGGACUGGCUCUGAGACCCCGCCUCGCGGGGGGUGCCUCCCCCCCCGCGAUGGGGUUCCUAAGGGCCAGUGGGGGAAGAGGGGCUGGCUCUGAGACCCCGCCUCGCGGGGGGUGCCUCCCCCCCUGUGAUGGGGGUCCUAAGAGCCAGGAGCAGAAGAGGGGCUGGCUCUCUGUACCCGCCUCGCGGGGGGUGCCUCUCCCCCCCCGUGAUGGGGGUCCUAAGAGCCAGAAGGCUUAGAGGGGCUGGCUCUCAGUCCCCGCCUCGUGGGGGGUGCCUCCUCCCCCUGCGACGGGGGUCCUAAAUGCCAGUGGGGAAAGAGGGGCUCGCUCUGAGACCCCGCCUCGCUGGGGGUGCCUCCCCCCACUGCGAUGGGGGUCCUAAGGGCCAGUGGGGAAAGAGGGGCUGGCUCUCAGUCCCCGCCUCGUGGGGGGUGCCUCCUCCCCCUGCGACGGGGGUCCUAAAUGCCAGUGGGGAAAGAGGGGCUGGCUCUGAGACCCCGCCUCGCUGGGGGUGCCUCCUCCCCCUGCGAUGGGGGUCCUAAGAGCCAGGGGGGGAAGAGGGGCUGGCUCUCAGUCCCCGCCGCGCGGGGGGUGCCUCCCCCCCUCGUGAUACGGAUCCGAAGAGCCAGGGGGGGAACAGGGGGAGAGGAUGAUAAUUUCAGCAUCGCAGGCUGUGUUCACCCAGCCUGUUAAAUUGUUAUUAGUAUCCUGAAAGGGAGAGGAUGAUAUUACUCCCCAUAACAGACAGAUAUGACUCCCCAUCGUAGAGCACGAGGUGUACACCCGCCCUGUGAUUUUCUUCCUCAUAUUCAGAGACCGAGAGGUUGAUGUCACUCCCAAUAUCGGAGGAAGUAUACACCCCCGUGUGAGAUGUUCCUUAAUGAUAUUCCACGGCGGAGGGGGUGAUAUGACUACAUUCAUGGCAGAAAGUGGAAACCCCCCAGGGAUAUUAUUCCCACGAUCCUGGAGGGAAGAAGAUGAUGUUACUUUCAAUAUGACAGAAGGUGGAUGAAGUGGUGGACUGCCCCUCCACACCUGUGGACACGCCCCCACUGAUAUUCCCUCUAAUUGCAGCGUGGGAGAGGAGGAUAUGACACGCCAUAUCGCAGGGAGCAGAAACACCCCUGUGAUACUGUUCUUCAUAUUCAGGGAGGAAGAGGAUGAUAUUACUCCCAAUACAGACGGGUGUACACCCUCUGUACACCGAGGGUGUACACCCGUCUGUGAAAGAGUUCGUAAUCUCCAGAGGGGGAGAUGAUAUUACUCACAAUAUGGUAAAGAGGCUGUGAGUCCACGGAGGAUCCUCAGAGCCAGCGGGGGAAGAGGGGCUGGCUCUGAGACCUCGCCUCGCUGGGGGUGCCUCCCCCCACUGCGAUGGGGGUCCUAAGAGACAGUGGGGGAAGAGGGGCUGGCUCUGAGACCCCGCCUCGCGUGGGGUGCCUCCCCCCCCUGCGAUGGGGGUCCUAAGGGCCAGUGGGGGAAGAGGGACUGGCUCUGAGACCCCGCCUCGCGGGGGGUGCCUCCCCCCCCUGCGAUGGGGUUCCUAAGGGCCAGUGGGGGAAGAGGGACUGGCUCUGAGACCCCGCCUCGCUGGGGGUGCCUCCCCCCACUGCGAUGGGGGUCCUAAGAGACAGUGGGGGAAGAGGGGCUGGCUCUGAGACCCCGCCUCGCGGGGGGUGCCUCCCCCCCCUGCGAUGGGGGUCCUAAGGGCCAGUGGGCGAAGAGGGGCUGGCUCUGAGACCCCGCCUCGCGGGGGGUGCCUCCCCCCCUGUGAUGGGGGUCCUAAGAGCCAGGAGCAGAAGAGGGGCUGGCUCUCUGUACCCGCCUCGCGGGGGGUGCCUCCCCCCCCCGUGAUGGGGGUCCUAAGAGCCAGAAGGCUUAGAGGGGCUGGCUCUCAGUCCCCGCCUCGUGGGGGGUGCCUCCUCCCCCUGCGACGGGGGUCCUAAAUGCCAGUGGGGAAAGAGGGGCUCGCUCUGAGACCCCGCCUCGCUGGGGGUGCCUCCCCCCACUGCGAUGGGGGUCCUAAGGGCCAGUGGGGAAAGAGGGGCUGGCUCUCAGUCCCCGCCUCGUGGGGGGUGCCUCCUCCCCCUGCGACGGGGGUCCUAAAUGCCAGUGGGGAAAGAGGGGCUGGCUCUGAGACCCCGCCUCGCUGGGGGUGCCUCCUCCCCCUGCGAUGGGGGUCCUAAGAGCCAGGGGGGGAAGAGGGGCUGGCUCUCAGUCCCCGCCGCGCGGGGGGUGCCUCCCCCCCUCGUGAUACGGAUCCGAAGAGCCAGGGGGGGAACGGGGGGAGAGGAUGAUAAUUUCAGCAUCGCAGGCUGUGUUCACCCAGCCUGUUAAAUUGUUAUUAGUAUCCUGAAAGGGAGAGGAUGAUAUUACUCCCCAUAACAGACAGAUAUGACUCCCCAUCGUAGAGCACGAGGUGUACACCCGCCCUGUGAUUUUCUUCCUCAUAUUCAGAGACCGAGAGGUUGAUGUCACUCCCAAUAUCGGAGGAAGUAUACACCCCCGUGUGAGAUGUUCCUUAAUGAUAUUCCACGGCGGAGGGGGUGAUAUGACUACAUUCAUGGCAGAAAGUGGAAACCCCCCCAGGGAUAUUAUUCCCACGAUCCUGGAGGGAAGAAGAUGAUGUUACUUUCAAUAUGACAGAAGGUGGAUGAAGUGGUGGACUGCCCCUCCACACCUGUGGACACGCCCCCACUGAUAUUCCCUCUAAUUGCAGCGUGGGAGAGGAGGAUAUGACACGCCAUAUCGCAGGGAGCAGAAACACCCCUGUGAUACUGUUCUUCAUAUUCAGGGAGGAAGAGGAUGAUAUUACUCCCAAUACAGACGGGUGUACACCCUCUGUACACCGAGGGUGUACACCCGUCUGUGAAAGAGUUCGUAAUCUCCAGAGGGGGAGAUGAUAUUACUCACAAUAUGGUAAAGAGGCUGUGAGUCCACGGAGGAUCCUCAGAGCCAGCGGGGGAAGAGGGGCUGGCUCUGAGACCUCGCCUCGCUGGGGGUGCCUCCCCCCACUGCGAUGGGGGUCCUAAGAGACAGUGGGGGAAGAGGGGCUGGCUCUGAGACCCCGCCUCGCGUGGGGUGCCUCCCCCCCCUGCGAUGGGGGUCCUAAGGGCCAGUGGGGGAAGAGGGACUGGCUCUGAGACCCCGCCUCGCGGGGGGUGCCUCCCCCCCCUGCGAUGGGGUUCCUAAGGGCCAGUGGGGGAAGAGGGACUGGCUCUGAGACCCCGCCUCGCUGGGGGUGCCUCCCCCCACUGCGAUGGGGGUCCUAAGAGACAGUGGGGGAAGAGGGGCUGGCUCUGAGACCCCGCCUCGCGGGGGGUGCCUCCCCCCCCUGCGAUGGGGGUCCUAAGGGCCAGUGGGCGAAGAGGGGCUGGCUCUGAGACCCCGCCUCGCGGGGGGUGCCUCCCCCCCUGUGAUGGGGGUCCUAAGAGCCAGGAGCAGAAGAGGGGCUGGCUCUCUGUACCCGCCUCGCGGGGGGUGCCUCCCCCCCCCGUGAUGGGGGUCCUAAGAGCCAGAAGGCUUAGAGGGGCUGGCUCUCAGUCCCCGCCUCGUGGGGGGUGCCUCCUCCCCCUGCGACGGGGGUCCUAAAUGCCAGUGGGGAAAGAGGGGCUCGCUCUGAGACCCCGCCUCGCUGGGGGUGCCUCCCCCCACUGCGAUGGGGGUCCUAAGGGCCAGUGGGGAAAGAGGGGCUGGCUCUCAGUCCCCGCCUCGUGGGGGGUGCCUCCUCCCCCUGCGACGGGGGUCCUAAAUGCCAGUGGGGAAAGAGGGGCUGGCUCUGAGACCCCGCCUCGCUGGGGGUGCCUCCUCCCCCUGCGAUGGGGGUCCUAAGAGCCAGGGGGGGAAGAGGGGCUGGCUCUCAGUCCCCGCCGCGCGGGGGGUGCCUCCCCCCCUCGUGAUACGGAUCCGAAGAGCCAGGGGGGGAACGGGGGGAGAGGAUGAUAAUUUCAGCAUCGCAGGCUGUGUUCACCCAGCCUGUUAAAUUGUUAUUAGUAUCCUGAAAGGGAGAGGAUGAUAUUACUCCCCAUAACAGACAGAUAUGACUCCCCAUCGUAGAGCACGAGGUGUACACCCGCCCUGUGAUUUUCUUCCUCAUAUUCAGAGACCGAGAGGUUGAUGUCACUCCCAAUAUCGGAGGAAGUAUACACCCCCGUGUGAGAUGUUCCUUAAUGAUAUUCCACGGCGGAGGGGGUGAUAUGACUACAUUCAUGGCAGAAAGUGGAAACCCCCCCAGGGAUAUUAUUCCCACGAUCCUGGAGGGAAGAAGAUGAUGUUACUUUCAAUAUGACAGAAGGUGGAUGAAGUGGUGGACUGCCCCUCCACACCUGUGGACACGCCCCCACUGAUAUUCCCUCUAAUUGCAGCGUGGGAGAGGAGGAUAUGACACGCCAUAUCGCAGGGAGCAGAAACACCCCUGUGAUACUGUUCUUCAUAUUCAGGGAGGAAGAGGAUGAUAUUACUCCCAAUACAGACGGGUGUACACCCUCUGUACACCGAGGGUGUACACCCGUCUGUGAAAGAGUUCGUAAUCUCCAGAGGGGGAGAUGAUAUUACUCACAAUAUGGUAAAGAGGCUGUGAGUCCACGGAGGAUCCUCAGAGCCAGCGGGGGAAGAGGGGCUGGCUCUGAGACCUCGCCUCGCUGGGGGUGCCUCCCCCCACUGCGAUGGGGGUCCUAAGAGACAGUGGGGGAAGAGGGGCUGGCUCUGAGACCCCGCCUCGCGUGGGGUGCCUCCCCCCCCUGCGAUGGGGGUCCUAAGGGCCAGUGGGGGAAGAGGGACUGGCUCUGAGACCCCGCCUCGCGGGGGGUGCCUCCCCCCCCUGCGAUGGGGUUCCUAAGGGCCAGUGGGGGAAGAGGGACUGGCUCUGAGACCCCGCCUCGCUGGGGGUGCCUCCCCCCACUGCGAUGGGGGUCCUAAGAGACAGUGGGGGAAGAGGGGCUGGCUCUGAGACCCCGCCUCGCGGGGGGUGCCUCCCCCCCCUGCGAUGGGGGUCCUAAGGGCCAGUGGGCGAAGAGGGGCUGGCUCUGAGACCCCGCCUCGCGGGGGGUGCCUCCCCCCCUGUGAUGGGGGUCCUAAGAGCCAGGAGCAGAAGAGGGGCUGGCUCUCUGUACCCGCCUCGCGGGGGGUGCCUCCCCCCCCCGUGAUGGGGGUCCUAAGAGCCAGAAGGCUUAGAGGGGCUGGCUCUCAGUCCCCGCCUCGUGGGGGGUGCCUCCUCCCCCUGCGACGGGGGUCCUAAAUGCCAGUGGGGAAAGAGGGGCUCGCUCUGAGACCCCGCCUCGCUGGGGGUGCCUCCCCCCACUGCGAUGGGGGUCCUAAGGGCCAGUGGGGAAAGAGGGGCUGGCUCUCAGUCCCCGCCUCGUGGGGGGUGCCUCCUCCCCCUGCGACGGGGGUCCUAAAUGCCAGUGGGGAAAGAGGGGCUGGCUCUGAGACCCCGCCUCGCUGGGGGUGCCUCCUCCCCCUGCGAUGGGGGUCCUAAGAGCCAGGGGGGGAAGAGGGGCUGGCUCUCAGUCCCCGCCGCGCGGGGGGUGCCUCCCCCCCUCGUGAUACGGAUCCGAAGAGCCAGGGGGGGAACGGGGGGAGAGGAUGAUAAUUUCAGCAUCGCAGGCUGUGUUCACCCAGCCUGUUAAAUUGUUAUUAGUAUCCUGAAAGGGAGAGGAUGAUAUUACUCCCCAUAACAGACAGAUAUGACUCCCCAUCGUAGAGCACGAGGUGUACACCCGCCCUGUGAUUUUCUUCCUCAUAUUCAGAGACCGAGAGGUUGAUGUCACUCCCAAUAUCGGAGGAAGUAUACACCCCCGUGUGAGAUGUUCCUUAAUGAUAUUCCACGGCGGAGGGGGUGAUAUGACUACAUUCAUGGCAGAAAGUGGAAACCCCCCCAGGGAUAUUAUUCCCACGAUCCUGGAGGGAAGAAGAUGAUGUUACUUUCAAUAUGACAGAAGGUGGAUGAAGUGGUGGACUGCCCCUCCACACCUGUGGACACGCCCCCACUGAUAUUCCCUCUAAUUGCAGCGUGGGAGAGGAGGAUAUGACACGCCAUAUCGCAGGGAGCAGAAACACCCCUGUGAUACUGUUCUUCAUAUUCAGGGAGGAAGAGGAUGAUAUUACUCCCAAUACAGACGGGUGUACACCCUCUGUACACCGAGGGUGUACACCCGUCUGUGAAAGAGUUCGUAAUCUCCAGAGGGGGAGAUGAUAUUACUCACAAUAUGGUAAAGAGGCUGUGAGUCCACGGAGGAUCCUCAGAGCCAGCGGGGGAAGAGGGGCUGGCUCUGAGACCCCGCCUCGCUGGGGGUGCCUCCCCCCCACUGCGAUGGGGGUCCUAAGAGACAGUGGGGGAAGAGGGGCUGGCUCUGAGACCCCGCCUCGCGGGGGGUGCCUCCCCCCCCUGCGAUGGGGGUCCUAAGGGCCAGUGGGGGAAGAGGGGCUGGCUCUGAGACCCCGCCUCGCGGGGGGUGCCUCCCCCCCCUGCGAUGGGGGUCCUAAGGGCCAGUGGGGGAAGAGGGGCUGGCUCUGAGACCCCGCCUCGCGGGGGGUGCCUCCCCCCCUGUGAUGGGGGUCCUAAGAGCCAGGAGCAGAAGAGGGGCUGGCUGUCUGUACCCGCCUCGCGGUAGGCGCCUCCCCACCCUUCGAUGGGGUUCCUAAGGGCCCUUGGGGGAAGAGGGGCUGGCUCUGAGACCCCGCCUCGCUGGGGGUGCCUCCCCCCCCUGCGAUGGGGGUCCUACGGGCCAGUGGGGAAGAGGGGCUGGCUGUGAGACCCCGCCUCGCUGGGGGUGCCUCCCCCCUGUUGCGAUGGGGGUCCUAAGAGCCAGUGGGGCAAGAGUGGCUGUGUCUCAGUCACCGCCUCGUGGGGCGUGCCUCCUCCCCCUGCGACGGGGUUCCCAAAGGCCAGUGGGGGAAGAGGGGCUGGCUCUGAGACCCCGCCUCGCUGGGGGUGCCUCCCCCCCCUGCGAUGGGGGUCCUACGGGCCAGUGGGGGAAGAGGGGCUGGCUGUGAGACCCCGCCUCACGGGGGGUGCCUCCCCCCCGCUGCGAUGGGGGUCCUAAGAGCCAGUGGGGCAAGAGUGGCUGUCUCUCAGUCACCGCCUCGUGGGGCGUGCCUCCUCCCCCUGCGAUGCGGUUCCUAAGAGCCAGGGGGGGAAGAGGGGUUGGCUCUGAGUCCCCGCCUCACCGGGGAUGCCUCUCCCCCCUGCGAUGGCGGUCCUAAGAGCCAGGAUCAGAAGAGGGGCUGGCUCUCUGUGCCCGCCUCGCGGGGGGUGCCUCCGCCCCCUGUGAUGGGGGUCCUAAGAGCCAGAAGGGUUAGAGGGGCUGGCUCUGAGACCACGCCUCGCGAGGUGCCUCCCCACCUUGCUAUCGGGGUCCCAAGAGCCAGGGGGGAAGAGGGGCUGGCUCUCUUUGUGGAUGAUUCUUUUUCCAUUCUCGGGCAGUUUUCUUUUUUCUUUCUUUUUUUUUUUUUUGAAACUGAGUCUUGCUCUGUUGCCCAUGCUUUGCUGGAUCUCGGGUGACUGCAACCACUGCCUCCCAGGUUCAAGAGAUUCUCCUGCCUCAGCCUCCUGAGUAGCUGGGACUAGAGGCGUGUGUCACCACACCCAGCUGAUUUUUGUAUUUUUAGUAGAAAUGGGGUUUCACCAUGUUUGCCAGGAUGGUCUCUAUCUCCUGACCUUGUGAUCCACCCACCUCAGCCUCCCAAAGUGCUGGGAUUGCAGGUGCGAGCCACCGGGUCCACCCUCUCAGGCGAUUUUCAUACCUGCAUACUCUGAUCACUACUCUGUUAAACAGUCAACGAGGCUGAGUGCCACGUGCUGACAUCACUAAGAUCAAUACAGCAAACUCUGAAAGAUGGACAGAGAGACAGGAGAUGGUCGUUUAUAAUGCAGUGUGAUCUGUGCUGCAAUAGAGAUGGAAGAGUGUUCUGAUCGGCUGGAAAACAACGCACAUGGGAAGCUGUACAGAAAUGAGUGGGGAAAGUUUUGGAAGCUAGAAGUUCAAAAUGAGGUGUUGGCAGCACCAUGCUCUCUCUGAAGAUGCUAGGAAGAAUCUGCUCCAUGCCUUUCCAUUCGCUUCUGGGGUUUCCUGCAAGCCCUGACAUUCCUUGGCUUGUAGAUGCAUCACCCCAGUUUCCGCCCCCAUCAUCACAUGGCCUCCUCUCUGUGUGUGCCUCUGCGUUCCCUCUAUUCUUCUUCUAAGGACACCGACACCAGUCAUAGUGGAUUAAGGAUCCAGUCCUAACUAAUUACAUCUGCAACAACCCUAUUUCCAAAUAAAGUCACAUUCUAAGAUUCCUAGGGAGAACAUGAAUUUUUGGGGGUGUGUGGAUACUGUUCAACCUGGGACAUGGAGUAAAUAAAUGGCAAGGAAGAUUACAGAUGACUUUAAGCUAAAGAGGGAGAUAGGGUUAAAUGUAGGACUUUUUUUUUUUUUUCCAGGACGGGAGAGGUUUAAACAUGUUACUACAUUGAAUAAAUGAAAUAACCAUGAACAUGGAGUGGCUAAAGAUUCUGAACUAAGUGCAAGUAAUUGAUAGCGCAAGCUCCCAAGGGGCUGGGGCCUGGAGCGCAGAUGGAUGGAUCCACUGUGGGCAGAACUGGGGCGUGGGAGGGGUGUGCCGAUGCAGAUGUGUUUGAGUGUGGGGGGCCAGAAGCUGAUUGGGGUGAAGCGUGACAGUGCAGCUCCAAGCCCGCUGGAGGUGUUCACCAAGCAACUCAAGAGCAGAUGGCAGAACGAGCAGCUGAAAUAACAGCUUGUGAAAUCAACCCUACUUUGUGGGGAGAGGAUUGGUUAAGGAUUCUAGCCAUGAGAACCAAGAAGAGGAGGAUAAUCUGUUCAUGCCUAUUAUGGGGCUUUGGGGGAGCAGUUUCAGCCUCAACCUGGAGAAUGUUUUAGAAGGCCAGAGAAAGGAACCCUGCAAAUCACGUGAGCUGGCCCCUCACUUUGAGAUGAAGUGUCCAUACAGCAGUAACGCCACCCUCUGUAGUGGUUCUAGAGUGUGGCAAUCUGGAGGGGUCAUUAUGGAAAAGGGCUGAAGCAUAAGAAUGUAGGCCCAAUACUGAGAUAGAGGAUUCUCUGAGAUGACUUAGGCAGGGUGAUGGUGGUGGAGGUGGGUGUAAGAAGCCCUCUGCUGCCUCAGUCCGAGCAUGGAAUUCAAUUGAUCAAGAGCAGAGCCAAUCACAAUUUAGGCCCCCUUGUUAGCCUUAAUUUAUUCCUCAGGUAUGGAGAAUACUCCUCAAGAUGCAUUCAGAGUGUAAGCUACCUCUUCCUCAGCAGAGGACUGCCCUGCAGGUUUGCAGGUCUGUCAUUUGGAAACUCCCUGAUGUGUCCCUUGGCUCUUCCCAUUCUUUUGCUUCAACACAUUUCAAGACCAGGCACCUUAACUGCAGAAACAGCAUGAAAAACAACUUUCUCUCUAAAAUGGAAGAUCUAUGAGAACAAGAACCUGUCUGCUCAUUGAGGUGUUACUCUAGAAAAAUGUCUGGCCCAUAGCAGGUGCUUAAUCAACAAUUUUUGAAGGAAAAGUGGAGGAAAAAAGAUGGGAGAAAGCAAACUC